RNAcentral lists this long non-coding RNA (1179 nucleotides) under Strigops habroptila (Kakapo). Its description in RNAcentral is "lncRNA (ENSSHBG00005011710.1)". The record is from RNAcentral. Lineage: Eukaryota; Metazoa; Chordata; Aves; Psittaciformes; Psittacidae.
UUAUAGAAAACAAUUAAAUCGAAGAAACAAUGAAAAUGGAACUGAAGUUGAAACCGCGCACUUGCGAUAUCAAAUAUCAAUGCAAUCAUUUUGAAGCAGAUAAUAUGCAUGCCAAUUAGAGCUUUUUUACAUUAUAUUAUAAUAAAUUCAUAAUUCAUGCAUACAAUGAGAGCUUUUGGAAAGGAGCAUUUGAAUUUAACAAACACUACCACUCAUCAUCUGAGCAAAGAUGGCAAAAGGAAUCUCAACAUUAUUUGCGAUCUAAAAAAAUUGAACCAUGGUUGUUGCUUUGUGUUGUGCUUCCCUUGCACAGACUGCAGUGCCUUCUGUCUGCUUUAGGGUGUGGCAUCUGCCAUUGGGGAGGAAAAACUGGCAUGUGUUGCCUUUUAUAGCAGACUGAUUUCAUUGUGCUGAGGGCCUCUAUUUUAUAGCCUCUUAGUUCCAAUCUUGUAGCCGAGUUGCUGAAACAAACGGGAAGAAAGGAGUUAGUGGUAUAAACUCUUCACUUUCAAGCCUCAUCCUUUUCUUCUUUCCUGGGGAAAACAUUUCAAAGUAAAUCUGUGUUAAACUUUGCAGGCUAUUUUCCUGAUCAGAAGGAGUUGCGGAGCAUGUCAGGAAGUACUCCAUCCGCAGCCGGGGCGCUAUCAGCACAUCUUAUCGGAUUUUCAAUAUAUUUAUUUUGCUUGAAUAUAAAUAUCUUGAAGUAUAAAUGUGUAAUUGAUUUUAUAUUUUAUUUUAGAGUACACAUGUAAAUAAAUACACUCGAGGAGACAUCUAUAUUUAUAUUUGCAUAUGAAAGACUUCAAAAAAUCAACUUAUGUGGCUUAAUGUGUAUAAUUAGCGUGCAUUUGAAUAUAGAAAGGAAGAAAAUCCAGGAGAAAAUGUCAAAAAGGCUCACUAACAAAGAUGUAGUAUUCUCUUGGCAAAAGCUGAUGAAUGAUUUGGCAUGAAUUCAUCUUACAGUUCUGUUAUUCUCUCUCCUACAAAGAUGAUAUACCCCUUUCUAGCAGUUUGCAUAGAAUUGCAAUUUGUUGUUGUUACAGGCUGUAAUGACCCUUGGGUAUGCACCUGAUUCCCCCCACUAGAAUUACUCACCGUUUUUUCUCGUGCUCUAUGUUUUUCUUCUAUAGCCAUAUAACAUUUUUGCACUUGCAAAGAGUACCAAAAAAAAAAAAAAAA